This 30017-nucleotide long non-coding RNA is filed under the name Triticum aestivum (bread wheat). RNAcentral describes it as "long non-coding RNA (TAES_LNC000632)". Lineage: Eukaryota; Viridiplantae; Streptophyta; Magnoliopsida; Poales; Poaceae. The record is from RNAcentral.
GCAGCACUGCCCUGCUGUUGCCGCCGUCGAGGCGUGCGGGUACCCAUGCUCGCGGCCAGAGCCGGGCACCUGUUCGGUAAUGUAGACUGUACAGCACAUGCUGAUAGGAUAUUACAUUGACUUUUGCCAGUCGUACUGGACGAUCAAGUUUUCAUGGUUGUAUCGGACUUGAGGAAGGAGUAUCUACUAAGGUUCAGCUAGCAACUGUGUCGACUUUCAGUUAGUUAGGCCUUGUGUACGCCCGCGACACGCAGCUCAAAGAGCAGAGUUUAUGAAAACAAACAAGCGGACCGUUAGCAUGACAAGUCCGGUUUCGAGUCCAAUUCUUUGCUGUACAUAGGGAAAUCAGUUUGCUUUUUUUAUUCAGCACCUAAAAGAGCUCUGCCUCAAGGCCAGUUCGUUUCACCUCUCAAUUCUCCAGAGUCUUAUUCUGGGAACCUGUCCACAAAAUCGUUUGUCUGCUUUGUCAAGAUUGGGCCGGGCCAAUAGGAGACGGGUAGGCGGGGGCGGUGAAGACAGGUAACCGGGCACAGAGACGAUGGAGCGGAGUAGGGUGGCUGCCGCCAGCGGAUCUGACGGCGCUAGGUUGGAGUCGCCGGUUGGAGGCGGGAACCGUAGCUCGAGGGCUCACGCGGGCAUCUGGUACGGUGAGACGAACGCGAGGGGGAGAGGAACGCGAGAGGCGCGAGGCUGUGUUUUGGGCCUCUGUUGGUCUGGACCGGGUGUCAAUUUGGAGGUAAAUUGAUUGUCAAAUAGGGGUAUUAGGCCCUGUUUGUUUGGGCUGCGGCUGAACGAGAAGCAGCUGGAGCUGGUAGAAGCUGGAGCUGGUAGAAGCUGAGAAGUAGGCUGGAGUUGGUAGAAGCUGAGAAGUCCAAAAAGCAUGUUUGGUAACUUUUUUAGGACGGCUGCUGAGGCUGUAGCUGGCGGUGAAAGUCUGUAAUGCCUUUGGAUGAUGAAGAUGUUAUUUAAACACUGAUUUGACAUGAUUUAUCUGAUUAUGCCGUAUAUUAUCUCAAAUGAUAUGUUUAGCUUCUAAUUUAGCCCAAAAAUAUUGUUUUUGUUGCAAAAUAAUUAUAGAUAAUAAAGUUUGAUAGAUUUAGUAGGUAUUUAAAUAUUUCUUCCAUGGCCAGUGGUACAUACAGUGUGUUUCAAUGAAUUUUGACAUAUGACAAUACCUUUGAACACAUCAUAACAAUAUAGUACCGACUAUAUAUUACAUCAAACUGUCUUUUCGAUUGCAAAAUACAUGGUAGUGGUGAAAUACAAUCCUACUCUCUCGCCACAAACACAUAGUUCAACAAUUAAACAAGCAAAUACAUAGUUUAAAUAAUUCAACAAUUAAGCCAGGAAAUACAUAGUUAAACAAUCUCUACUCUUAUAAAAAACCGAGUCUCUCUUCAUUUGACUUCAUUGCAUAAAAGAAACAGCGGUUUGAUGGUUUUACUUGCUUUCUCAUUUGUUUCCCCAACCAUGAUCAUAAGAUCCUUUACAUCCGAGGGAGGUCCUUUGCGGAAAGCUCGACUUGCCAUGUGAAUCUACACAUAAAAUACAACUUUAGUACUUUUUAUAUACAUAAUAGAACAUGCCAUUAGUAAAUUGGUUUUCUGCAUUUGAAAGCAACCAACCUUGAAAGCAACCAUCCAUUUGAAGUAAUUGUUUAGCCUAUGUCCAUGUUGUACUUGAUCAGCUGCACACUUGGAAAAAACUUCGCUGGGCUCUCGAUCCCACAUCUGAACUGACAUCUACAUAGUUAGACAUCAAGCAAUCAUCAAACUCUCACCUAAUAGUCCAGAUAUAUGUGAACAUACAUGCACAACCCGUGACAACAAGUAACCAUGACCAACAUACAUAUAUUAUAUCUAGCAAGCAUUUCCAACAAUCAACAAGCAACCGUGUUAUCCAUAUGCACGUCCAGCAAGCACAUUUUGUUCAAAUUGACAACAAGUGACAAUUUUUGGUCACAUAUGCCUGACAAAUCUCACAAGCACAAAACAUAUAUAAACAUUUAUAUAUCCUAUACACAUGCCUCACAAAUCACACAACAAGUCUCAUCUCUUAGGAGAAAUUUUUUAUCUGGAUGUUUGUCGACAACCAAGUCCAACUUUCAGAUGAUACAUCAAGCAAAUUAAUGUCCAAUACUAUUAUACAAAUAAACAAGAAAAUUAGUGUCAAUAUUUAUCAUUAAUUUGUAUGAUACAAAUCAAGAAAGUACCAUGACAACACUAGCAAGCAUAUCACAUCUACUACAUGACAAUUUUUUCAUACCAAUCAUACACCAAGCAACAUGAUAAUUUGUUCAUAGCAACAAGUAAAACUUUUUUUAUAGGAAUCAUGAAGAAAUGGCUCACCUUGAGCUUGCUCGAGGUAGCAGUGGAGGGAGACCGAGGGGGCAUGAUUGAGGCAGCAACCGAGUUCGUGGGACGGGUGGUCGGAUCCAGUACGCGUCGUGGCUGGUGAGGGUUGAGAAGGCCGGAUCCCGCCCGCGUCGCUGCUGCAGAUGGCGGCGGUGCUGGGUCCUGGAGUAGGUAGCGGAGCGAGCUCCUAGAUCGGGAGGAGGCGAGGAGGAGGAACGGGAGAGAUCCGGCUGAGGGGGCGCGAGCUCCGACUGCCAGGGUCACCGGAGAUGGCGGCAGCGGAGUGAACCCUAGCGCCUCCUCUGUGCUCUAUCUUGCUACCAGAUCAGCGGGGAGGGGAAUGGGGUUACGGUGUGGGAGAACAAAAAUCUAAAGGGGUGGUGACGGUGGCAUUUCUGAUGUAAUUUCGGGGAAGUGGGGGGGGGGCAGGCUUUUGGGGGAGGGGUGAGAAGCCGGCGCAACUACAGGAAGCUACUCUGGACGUGCUUUUACCUCGUAGUGCAAUUUGGAGAUGCACUUCUCGGAAGCCUGGUCGUAGGAAAUAACUGUUUGGCUGGGCUUCAACUUUUAGGGGGCUAGAAGCAGCAAAAGCUGAAGCCCAAGCCCAAACAAACAGGGCCUUAGUUCAAAGCGAGCUGUCCUUUAGGAUCGCCCACUCUUUACUCUUAUAGAAUAGAAUUACAUAACAAGAAAUGAUUCUUUUAUGCUGCCAGCCAAACUCGCGUGCACCAUCACUAUUUAUAACAAACUUUCAUACUUGUUUAAAAGUCUUUUCUCAAUUACAGUCAUAGCUAAUUACUAUGGUAAAUUAAACUACAUUUUUCUUUACAUUUUUCAAUAUAACAUGGCUUUAAAAUAUUUAAAUCAGUUCCACUUAAAUGUGAUAAAAUCAGAAAAGAAAAAUUGCAUGCCUUUUUGAAUUAAUUUAUGAAUCUUGCAAUAAUAUAUGUAUAUGAAUGUGUCGUUUACUAUCUUAAUAAAUAAUUCUAAAUAUUGCGGUGUAAAAAUGUAUUUAUAGCCGUGUUUAUAAUUAGAUAUAUCUAAAUAGACAAAUCUGGAGUACACAAGAUGUUUACAAGGAGCUUUGUACCUAAUAAUUGACAUGUGUUUUAGUCAUUUUUACUGAUCAACAUAUUUUAAUGUAUUAUCGUGGGUUCAAUAAUUUUAAAAGUAUCACACCGUCAUUCCCGUGUUGAACUAAGAGUGACUAUUCAUCCGCGACCUGGCUGAAGAGGCUGUUUUCAUCCACGUAUAGGCCGAAUAGUGACUCUUUGUUUGCACACAAGCUGAAGAGGCACUCUUUGAAGGAAAUAUGCCCUAGAGGCAAUAAUAAUGUUAUUAUUUUAUUUCCUUAUAUCAUGAUAAAUGUUUAUUAUUCAUGCUAGAAUUGUAUUAUCCGGAAACAUAAUACUUGUGUGAAUACAUAGACAAACUAAACAUCACUAAUAUGCCUCUACUUGACUAGCUCGUUAAUCAAAGAUGGUUAUGUUUCCUAACUAUAGACAUGUGUUGUCAUUUGAUUAACGGGAUCACAUUAUUAGGAGAAUGAUGUGAUUGACAUGACCCAUUCCAUUACUUAGCAUCCGAUCAUUUAGUAUGUUGCUAUUGCUUUCUUCAUGACUUAUACAUGUCCCUAUGACUAUGAGAUUAUGCAACUCCCGUUUGCCGGAGGAACACUUUGUGUGCUACCAAACGUCACAACAUAACUGGGUGAUUAUAAAGGAGCUCUACAAGUGUCUCCAAAGGUAAAUGUUGGGUUGGCGUAUUUCGAGAUUAGGAUUUGUCACUCCGAUUGUCGGAGAGGUAUCUCUGAGCCCUCUCGGUAAUGCACAUCACAUAAGCCUUGCAAGCAUUGCAACUAAUGAGUUAGUUGCGAGAUGAUGUAUUACGAAACGAGUAAAGAGACUUGCCGGUAACGAGAUUGAACUAGGUAUUGAGAUACCGACGAUCGAAUCUCGGGCAAGUAACAUACCGAUGACAAAGGGAACCACGUAUGUUGUUAUGCGGUCUGACCGAUAAAGAUCUUCAUAGAAUAUGUGGGAGCCAAUAUGAGCAUCUAGGUUCCGCUAUUGGUUAUUGACUGGAGACGUGUCUCGGUCAUGUCUACAUUGUUCUCAAACCCGCAGGGUCCCGCACGCUUAAGGUUUCAAUGACAGUUAUAUUAUGAGUUUAUGAGUUUUGAUGUACCGAAGUUAGUUCGGAGUCCCGGAUGUGAUCACGGACAUGACGAGGAGUCUCUAAAUGGUCGAGACAUAAAGAUUGAUAUAUUGGAAGCCUAUGUUUGGACAUCAGAAGUGUUCCGGGUGAAAUCGGCAUUUUACUGGAGUACCGGAACCCCCCGGUAACCUAAUGGGCCUUAAUGGGCCUAGUGGAGGAAGAGGAGAGGAGGCCUAGGGGCUGCCGCGCGCCCCUCCCCCCCCCAAGUCCGAAUUGGACAAGGAGGGGGGGGGGGGCGGCGCCCCGCCUUUCCUUUCUUCCCUCUCCUCCUUCCCCCCAAGUCCUAAUCCAACUAGGGAAAGGGAGGGGAGUCCUACUCCUGGUAGGAGUAGGACUCCUCCUGCGCGCCUCCUCCUAGGGCCGGCCGCACCCCCCAUUGGCUUCUUUAUAUACGGGGCAGGGGGCACCCCUAGACACACAAGUUGAUCUCUAAGAUUGUUCUCUUAGCCGUGUGUGGUGCCCCCUUCCACCAUAGUCCUCGAUCAUAUUGUAGUGGUGCUUAGGCGAAGCCCUGCGACAGUAGAACAUCAAGAUCGUCACCACGCCGUCGUGCCGACGGAACUCUUCCCCGACACUUUGCUGGAUCAGAGUCCGGGGAUCGUCAUCGAGCUGAACGUGUGCUAGAACUCGGAUGUGCCGUAGUUUCGGUGCUUGAUCGGUCGGGCCGUGAAGACGUACGACUACAUCAACCGCGUUGUCAUAAUGCUUCCGCUGUCGGUCUACGAGGGUACGUAGAUCACACUCUCCCCUCUGGUUGCUAUGCAUCACCAUGAUCUUGCGUGUGCGUAGGAAAUUUUUUAAAAUUACUACGUUCCCCAAUAGUGGCAUCCGAGCCUAGGUUUUAUGCGUUGAUGUUAUAUGCACGAGUAGAACACAAGUGAGUUGUGGGCGAUAUAAGUCAUACUGCUUACCAGCAUGUCAUACUUUGGUUCGGAGGUAUUGUUGGACGAAGCGGCCCGGACCGACAUUACGCGUGCGCUUACGCGAGACCGGUUCUCCCGACGUGCUUUGCACAAAGGUGGCUAGCGGGUGUCAGUUUCUCCAACUUUAGUUGAACCAAGUGUGGCUACGCCCGGUCCUUACGAAGGUUAAAACAACACCAAUUUAACAAACUAUCAUUGUGGUUUUGAUGCGUAGGUAAGAACGGUUCUUGCUAAGCCCGUAGCAGCCACGUAAAACUUGCAACAACAAAGUAGAGGACGUCUAACUUGUUUUUGCAGGGCAUGUUGUGAUGUGAUAUGGUCAAGACAUGAUGCUAAAUUUUAUUGUAUGAGAUGAUCAUGUUUUGUAACUAAGUUAUCAGCAACUGGCAGGAGCCAUAUGGUUGUCGCUUUAUAUUAUGCAAUGCAAUUGUGCAGUAAUGCUUUACUUUAUCACUAAGUGGUAGCGAUAGUCGUGGAAGCAUAAGAUUGGCGAGACGACAACGAUGCUACGAUGAUGAUCAAGGUGUCGCGCCGAUGACGAUGGUGAUCAUGACGGUGCUUCGAAGAUGGAGAUCACAAGCACAAGAUGAUGAUGACCAUAUCAUAUCACUUAUAUUGAUUGCAUGUGAUGUUUAUAUUUUAUACAUCUUAUCUUGCUUUGAUUGACGGUAGCAUUUUAAGAUGAUCUCUCACUAAUUAUCAAGAAGUGUUCUCCCUGAGUAUGCACCAUUGUGAAAGUUCUUCGUGCUGAGACACCACGUGAUGAUCGGGUGUGAUAGGCUCUACGUUCAAAUACAACGGGUGCAAAACAGUUGCACACACGAAAUACUCAGGUUAUACUUGACGAGCCAAGCAUAUAUAGAUAUGGCCUCGGAACACGGAGACCGAAAGGUCGAGCGUGAAUCAUAUAGUAGAUAUGAUCAACAUAGUGAUGUUCACCAAUGAAACUACUCCAUCUCACGCGAUGAUCGGACAUGGUUUGGUUGAUUUGGAUCACGUGAUCACUUAGAGGAUUAGAGGGAUGUCUAUCUAAGUGGGAGUUCUUUAGUAAUAUGAUUAAUUGAACUUAAAUUUAUCAUGAACUUAGUACCUGAUAGUAUCUUGCUUGUUUAUGUUUGAUUGUAGAUAGAUGGCCCGUGCUGUUGUUCCGUUGAAUUUUAAUGCAUUCCUUGAGAAAGCAAAGUUGAAAGAUGAUGGUAGCAAUUACACGGACUGGGUCCAUAACUUGAGGAUUAUCCUCAUUGCUGCACAGAAUAAUUACGUCCUGGAAGCACCGCUGGGUGCCAGGCCUGCUGCUGGACCAACACCAGAUGUUAUGAACGUCUGGCAGAGCAAAGCUGAUGACUACUCUAUAGUUCAGUGUGCCAUGCUUUACGGCUUAGAAUCAGGACUUCAACGACGUUUUGAACUUCAUGGAGCAUAUGAUAUGUUCCAGGAGUUGAAGUUAAUAUUUCAAGCAAAUGCCCGGAUUAAGAGAUAUGAAGUCUCCAAUAAGUUCUAUAGCUGCAAGAUGGAGGAGAACAGUUCUGUCAGUGAGCAUAUACUCAAAAUGUCUGAGUAUAAUAAUCACUUGAUUCAAUUGGGAGUUAAUCUUCCAGAUGAUUGCGUCAUUGACAGAAUUCUCCAAUCACUUCCACCUAGCUACAAGAGCUUCGUGAUGAACUAUAAUAUGCCAGGGAUGAAUAAGACUAUUCCCGAGCUCUUCGCAAUGCUGAAAGCUGCGGAGGUAGAAAUCAAGAAGGAGCAUCAAGUGUUGAUGGUCAACAAGACCACUAGUUUCAAGAAAAAGGGCAAAGGGAAGAAGAAGGGGAACUUCAAAAAGAACAGCAAGCAAGUUGCUGCUCAAGAGAAGAAACCCAAAUCUGGACCUAAGCCUGAAACUGAGUGCUUCUACUGCAAGCAGACUGGUCGCUGGAAGCGGAACUGCCCCAAGUAUUUGGCGGAUAAGAAGGAUGGCAAGGUGAACAAAGGUAUAUGCGAUAUACAUGUUAUUGAUGUGUACCUUACUAAUGCUCGCAGUAGCACCUGGGUAUUUGAUACUGGUUCAGUUGCUAACAUUUGCAACUCGAAACAGGGACUACGGAUUAAGCGAAGAUUGGCUAAGGACGAGGUGACGAUGCGCGUGGGAAAUGGUUCCAAAGUCGAUGUGAUCGCGGUCGGCACGCUACCUCUACAUCUACCUUCAGGAUUAGUAUUAGACCUAAAUAAUUGUUAUUUGGUGCCAGCGAUGAGCAUGAACAUUAUAUCUGGAUCAUGUUUGAUGCGAGACGGUUAUUCAUUUAAAUCAGAGAAUAAUGGUUGUUCUAUUUAUAUGAGUAAAAUCUUUUAUGGUCAUGCACCCAUGAAGAAUGGUCUAUUCUUAUUAAAUCUCGAUAGUAGUGACACACACAUUCAUAAUGUUGAAGCCAAAAGAUGCAGAGUUGAUAAUGAUAGUGCAACUUAUUUGUGGCACUGCCGUUUAGGUCAUAUCGGUGUAAAGCGCAUGAAGAAACUCCAUACUGAUGGACUUUUGGAACCACUUGAUUAUGAAUCACUUGGUACUUGCGAACCGUGCCUUAUGGGUAAGAUGACAAAAACACCGUUCUCCGAUACUAUGGAGAGAGCAACAGAUUUGUUGGAAAUCAUACAUACAGAUGUAUGUGGUCCGAUGAAUGUUGAGGCUCGUGGCGGAUAUCGUUAUUUUCUCACCUUCACGGAUGACUUAAGCAGAUAUGGGUAUAUCUACUUAAUGAAACAUAAGUCUGAAACAUUUGAAAAGUUCAAAGAAUUUCAGAGUGAAGUUGAAAAUCAUCGUAACAAAAAAAAUAAAAUUCCUACGAUUUGAUCGUGGAGGAGAAUAUUUGAGUUACAAGUUUGGUGUACAUUUGAAAUAAUGCGGAAUAGUUUCACAACUCACGCCACCCGGAACACCACAGCGUAAUGGUGUGUCCGAACGUCGUAAUCGUACUUUACUUGAUAUGGUGCGAUCUAUGAUGUCUCUUACUGAUUUACCGCUAUCGUUUUGGGGUUAUGCUUUAGAGACGGCCGCAUUCACGUUAAAUAGGGCACCAUCGAAAUCCGUUGAGACGACGCCUUAUGAACUGUGGUUUGGCAAGAAACCAAAGUUGUCGUUUCUGAAAGUUUGGGGCUGUGAUGCUUAUGUGAAAAAGCUUCAACCUGAUAAGCUCGAACCCAAAUCGGAGAAAUGUGUCUUCAUAGGAUAUCCAAAGGAAACUAUUGGAUACACCUUCUAUCACAGAUCCGAAGGCAAGACUUUUGUUGCUAAAUUUGGAAACUUUCUAGGGAAGGAGUUUCUCUCGAAAGAAGUGAGUGGGAGGAAAGUAGAACUUGAUGAGGUAACUGUACCUGCUCCCUUAUUGGAAAGUAGUACAUCACAGAAACCGGUUUUUGUGACACGUACACCAAUUAGUGAGGAAGCUAAUGAUGAUGAUUAUGAAACUUCAGAACAAGAUACUACUGAACCUCAUAGAUCAACCAGAGUAAGAUCCGCACCAGAGUGGUACGGUAAUCCUAUUCUGGAAUUCAUGCCACUAGAUCAUGAUGAACCUACGAACUAUGGAGAAGCGAUGGUGAGCCCAGAUUCCGCAAAAUGGCUUGAAGCCAUGAAAUCUCAGAUGGGAUCCAUGUAUGAGAACAAAGUAUGGACUUUGGUUGACUUGCCAAAAUAUCGGCAAGCAAUUGAGAAUAAAUGGAUCUUCAAGAAGAAGACUGACGCUGACGGUAAUGUUACUGUCUACAAAGCUCGACUUGUCGCAAAAGAUUUUUGACAAGUUCAAGGGAUUGAAUACGAUGAGACCCUCUCACCCGUAGCGAUGCUUAAGUCUGUCCGAAUCAUGUUAGCAAUUGCCGCAUUUUAUGAUUAUGAAAUUUGGCAGAUGGAUGUAAAAACUGCAUUCCUGAAUGGAUUUCUGGAAGAAGAGUUGUAUAUGAUGCAACCGGAAGGUUUUGUCGAUCCAAAGGGAGCUAACAAAGUGUGCAAGCUCCAGCGAUCCAUUUAUGGACUGGUGCAAGCCUCUCGGAGUUGGAAUAAACGCUUUGAUAGUGUGAUCAAAGCAUUUGGUUUUGUACAGACUUUUGGAGAAGCCUGUAUUUACAAGAAAGUGAGUGGGAGCUGUGCAGCAUUUCUGAUAUUAUAUGUAGAUGACAUAUUACUAAUCGGAAAUGAUAUAGAAUUUCUGGAUAGCAUAAAGGGAUACUUGAAUAAGAGUUUUUCAAUGAAAGACCUCGGUGAAGCUGCUUACAUAUUGGGCAUUAAGAUCUAUAGAGAUAGAUCAAGACGCUUAAUUGGACUUUCACAAAGCACAUACCUUGACAAAAUUUUGAAGAAGUUCAAAAUGGAUCAAGCAAAGAAAGGAUUCUUGCCUGUGUUACAAGGUGUGAAAUUGAGUAAGACUCAAUCCCGACCAAUGCAGAAGAUAAAGAGAAAAUGAAAGAUGUUCCCUAUGCUUCAGCCAUAGGCUCUAUCAUGUAUGCAAUGCUGUGUACCAGACUUGAUGUGUGUCUUGCUAUAAGUCUAGCAGGGAGGUAACAAAGUAAUCCAGGAGUGGAUCACUGGACAACGGUCAAAAACAUCCUGAAAUACCUGAAAAGGACUAAGGAUAUGUUUCUCGUAUAUGGAGGUGACAAAGAGCUCAUCGUAAAUGGUUACGUUGAUGCAAGCUCUGACACUAAUCCGGACGAUUCUAAAUCGCAAACUAGAUACAUGUUUACAUUAAACGGUGGAGCUGUCAGUUGGUGCAGUUCUAAACAAAGCGUUGUGGCGGGAUCUACAUGUGAAGCGGAGUACAUAGCUGCUCCGGAAGCAGCAAACGAAGGAGUCUGGAUGAAGGAGUUCAUAUCCGAUCUAGGUGUCAUACCUAGUGCAUCGGGUCCAAUGAAAAUCUUUUGUGACAAUACUGGUGCAAUUGCCUUGGCAAAGGAAUCCAGAUUUCACAAGAGAACCAAGCACAUCAAGAGACGCUUCAAUUCCAUCCGGGAUCUAGUCCAGGUGGGAGACAUAGAGAUUUGCAAUAUACAUACGGAUCUGAAUGUUGCAGACCCGUUGACUAAGCCUCUUCCACGAGCAAAACAUGAUCAGCACCAAAGCUCUAUGGGUGUUAGAAUCAUUACUGUGUAAUCUAGAUUAUUGACUCUAGUGCAAGUGGGAGACUGAAGGAAAUAUGCCCUAGAGGCAAUAAUAAUGUUAUUAUUUUAUUUCCUUAUAUCAUGAUAAAUGUUUAUUAUUCAUGCUAGAAUUGUAUUAUCCGGAAACAUAAUACUUGUGUGAAUACAUAGACAAACUAAACGUCACUAGUAUGCCUCUACUUGACUAGCUCGUUAAUCAAAGAUGGUUAUGUUUCCUAACCAUAGACAUGUGUUGGCAUUUGAUUAACGGGAUCACAUUAUUAGGAGAAUGAUGUGAUUGACAUGACCCAUUCCAUUAGCUUAGCACCCGAUCGUUUAGUAUGUUGCUAUUGCUUUCUUCAUGACUUAUACAUGUUCCUAUGACUAUGAGAUUAUGCAACUCCCGUUUGCCGGAGGAACACUUUGUGUGCUACCAAACAUCACAAUGUAACUGGGUGAUUAUAAAGGAGCUCUACAGGUGUCUCCAAAGGUAAAUGUUGGGUUGGCGUAUUUCGAGAUUAGGAUUUGUCACUCCGAUUGUCGGAGAGGUAUCUCUGGGCCCUCUCGGUAAUGCACAUCACAUAGGCCUUGCAAGCAUUCCAACUAAUGUGUUAGUUGCGAGAUGAUGUAUUACGAAACGAGUAAAGAGACUUGCCGGUAACGAGAUUGAACUAGGUAUUGAAAUACCGACGAUCGAAUCUCGGGCAAGUAACAUACCGAUGACAAAGGGAACCACAUAUGUUGUUAUGCGGUCUGACCGAUAAAGAUCUUCGUAGAAUAUGUGGGAGCCAAUAUGAGCAUCCAGGUUCCGCUAUUGGUUAUUGACCGGAGACGUGUCUCGGUCAUGUCUACAUUGUUCUCGAACCCGUAGGGUCCGCACGCUUAAGGUUUCGAUGACAGUUAUAUUAUGAGUUUAUGAGUUUUGAUGUACUGAAGUUAGUUCGGAGUCCCGGAUGUGAUCAUGGACAUGACGAGGAGUCUCGAAAUGGUUGAGACAUAAAGAUUGAUAUAUUGGAAGCCUAUGUUUGGACAUCGGAAGUGUUCCAGGUGAAAUCGGCAUUUUACCGGAGUACCAGGAGGUUACCGGAACCCCCUGGUAACCUAAUGGGCCUUAAUGGGCCUAGUGGAGGAAGAGGAGAGGAGGCCUAGGGGCUGCCGCACGCCCCUCCCCCCCAAGUCCGAAUUGGACAAGGAGGGGGGCGGCGCCCCCCCUUUCCUUUCUUCCCUCUCCUCCUUCCCUCAAGUCCUAAUCCAACUAGGGAAAGGGAGGGAAGUCCUACUCCCGGUAGGAGUAGGACUCCUCCUGCGCGCCUCCUCCUAGGGCCGGCCGCACCCCCCCUUGGCUCCUUUAUAUAUGGGGACAGGGGGCACCCCUAGACACACAAGUUGAUCUCUAAGAUCGUUCUCUUAGCCGUGUGCGGUGCCCCUUCCACCAUAGUCCUCGAUAAUAUUGUAGUGGUGCUUAGGCGAAGCCCUGCAACAGUAGAACAUCAAGAUCGUCACCACGCCGUCGUGCUGACGGAACUCUUCCCCGACACUUUGCUGGAUCGGAGUCCGGGGAUCGUCAUUGAGCUUAAUGUGUGCUAGAACUCGGAUGUGUCGUAGUUUCGGUGCUUGAUCGGUCGGGCCGUGAAGACGUACGACUACAUCAACCGUGUUGUCAUAACGCUUCCGUUGUCGGUCUACGAGGGUACGUAGAUCACACUCUCCCCUCUCAUUGCUAUGCAUCACCAUGAUCUUGCGUGUGCGUAGGAAUUUUUUUGAAAUUACUACGUUCCCCAACACUCUCCAUUCCAAGCCCACGGAUCACACAGAUUAUGGUGCACGCGACCAAUGACAAAAAUAGGGAAAGGCACAAUGUUUACAAGGUUAGGAACAUCUAGAUGAAUAGAUGGAUGAGAGUAAUUAGAAAAUUUCUCACCAAGAACGACGUAGGAUUGUGAGUGUGACGGGCGAUGUAGAUUGAAAGGCAAAAUUUAUUUUCCAUGAUGCACAAUUCAAGUUUGGUCUGAUUGAAAUUUCUCGUCAUUGAUACGGUCCUGAUGGCAUGGCAGGGACACACGUUUGCUUUAGCUUACUGUAGGUGUAGUCCUUUUGUUUCAGGUCCAAAGCAAAGGAAGAUUGCCUUUCGGCUCAUGACCAAAUGAAGUAGUUUUUCAGUCUGUACAAAAAGGCAUCUUUGGCCCAUCAAACCCAUUAAGCUACAUGCAAGGGGCGAUCCCUCGCGAUAACCACGUCGUCACUUUUUACUGUGCCAAAACGCAGUGUAGGGAGAGAUAAUAAUAAACAAAGUGGGGGACAUGGACGAGAUCGAGACGGGCAAUUGGGCAUGACCUAGCCCGCGUCUCCGCCACAACCCAGUCACUCUUCGUUCGACAAGGGACCGAUGGGGUGAUACUUUUGACUUGUUUUAAACCAGGACCAUAAUUUUGAUGUUUGCUAAAAAAAGUAAAACAAAGUUCCAGUAACUGGAUUGACCAUUCAAUGGAAACGACACUUCUCAAGCUAUCAAGAGCAUUACCUACCUCUUAUUCUACAAUUAAGAACAUGUUAUCACAUAACCAAGGACUUUGUAGCCACCCCGCAAUCUUAGCAUGAAAUCGUCAAAACCUUUCAACCUAAUCGAAGGGGAAGACUUGGUUGGUCACCAAGCUCGAUGGUCAGUCCAAAGUCCAAACCAUUGCACAUGCAUAGUUGCCAUUGAGUAUUUUUUAGGCCCUGUUUGGUUUCAAGAGUUAGAGUUUGUUUGGAUUAGUUUGGACUCAACUAACCAAAAAUAUCCAAACAGGAGGGUUAGUUUGGAUUAGAUGCAUCUAACCACCCAAAAAAUCUAACCCACUCAAGAGGUGCUUAUUUGGGUUAGUUCUCCUAGGAACCAUUAAAAGAAAUAUCUUUUCUCUCACUCUUCCCGCAGCAGAUCCCUCCCCACUUUCUCGAAGCUUCUCGUCAUCUCCCUCCCUCCCUUUCGCACCGCCUGUGAAGUCUGUUGGGGAUCGUAGCAGAAAUUUAAAAUUUUCUACGCAUCACCAAGAUCAAUCUAUGGAGUAAUCUAGCAACGAGGGGAAGGGGAGUGCAUCUACAUACCCUUGUAGAUCGCUAAGCGGAAGCGUUGCAAGAACGCGGAUGAAGGAGUCGUACUCGCAGUGAUUCAGGUCGCGGUUGAUUCCGAUCUAAGCGCCGAACAACGGCGCCUCCGCGUUCAACACACGUGCAACCCGGUGACGUCUCCCACGCCUUGAUCCAUCAAGGGGAGAAGGAGAGGUUGGGGAAGACUCCAUCCAGCAGCAGCACGACGGCGUGGUGGUGAAGGAGGAGCAUGGCAAUCCUGCAGGGCUUCGCCAAGCACCGCGGGAGAAGAGGAGGACUUGGGAGAGGGGGAGGGCUGCGCCAGAACUUGGGUGCGGCUGCUCUCCCACCCCCCACACAUAUAUAGGGGCAAGGGAGAGGGGGGCCGGCCCCCUUAGAUCCAAUCUGAGGAGGGGGCGGCGGCCAGGGGGGUUGCCUUGCCCCCCAAGGCAAGGGGGCGCCCCCCUUUAGGGUUCCCCCAAACCCUAGGCGCAUGGGCCCUAGGGGGGAGGCGCCCAGCCCACUAAGGGGCUGGUCCCUCUCCACACACAGCCCAUAGGGCCCUCCGGGGCAGGUGGACCCUCCCGGUGGACCCCCGGAACCCCUUUGGUGGUCCCAGUACAAUACCGGUAACCCCCCAAAUUAUUCCGGUGACCGUAUGAUGACUUCCCAUAUAUAAAUCUUUACCUCCGGACCAUUCCGGAACUCCUCGUGAUGUCCGGGAUCUCAUCUGGGACUCCGAAUAACAUUCGGUAACCACGUACAUCUAUUCCCUAUAACCCUAGCGUCAUCGAACCUUAAGUGUGUAGACCCUACGGGCUCGGGAGUCAUGCAGACAUGGCCGAGACAACUCUCCGGUCAAUAACCAAUAGCGGGAUCUGGAUACAACCAUGUUGGUUCCCUCAUGCUCCACGAUGAUCUCAUCGGAUGAACCACGAUGUCAAGGAUUCAAUCAAUCCCGUACACAAUUCCCUUUGUCUACCGUUACGAUACUUGCCCGAGAUUCGAUCGUCGGUAUCCCGAUACCUUGUUCAAUCUCGUUACCGGCAAGUCUCUUUACUCGUUCCGUAACAGAUCAUCCCGUGAUCAACUCCUUGGUCACAUUGUGCACAUUAUGAUGAUGUCCUACCGAGUGGGCCCAAAGAUACCUCUCCAUUACACGGAGUGACAAAUCCCACUCUCGAUUCGUGCCAACCCAACAGACACUUUAGGAGAUACCCGUAGUGCACCUUUAUAGCCACCCAAUUACGUUGUGACGUUUGGCACACCCAAAGCACUCCUACGGUAUCCGGGAGUUGCACAAUCUCAUGGUCUAAGGAAAUGAUACUUGACAUUAGAAAAGCUUUAGCAUACGAACUACACGAUCUUGUGCUAGGCUUAGGAUUGGGUCUUGUCCAUCACAUCAUUCUCCUAAUGAUAUGAUCCCGUUAUUAACGACAUCCAAUGUCCAUGGUCAGGAAACCGUAACCAUCUAUUGAUCAACGAGCUAGUCAACUAGAGGCUUACUAGGGACAUGGUGUUGUCUAUGUAUCCACACAUGUAUCUGAGUUUCCUAUCAAUACAAUUCUAGCAUGGAUAAUAAACGAUUAUCAUGAAUAAGGAAAUAUAAUAAUAACCAAUUUAUUAUUGCCUCUAGGGCAUAUUUCCAACAGUCUCCCACUUGCACUAGAGUCAAUAAUCUAGUUCACAUCGCCAGUGAUUGACACUCACAGGUCACAUCGCCAUGUGACCAACAUACAAAGAGUUUACUAGACUCAAUAAUCUAGUUCACAUCACUAUGUGAUUAACACUCAAUGAGUUCUGGGUUUGAUCAUGUUAUGCUUGUGAGAGAGGUUGUAGUCAACGGGUCUGCAAUAUUCAGAUCCCUAUGUAUUUCACAAAACUUUAUGUCAUAUUGUAGAUGCUGCUACCACGUUCCACUUGGAGCUACUCCAAAUUGUUGCUCCAUUAUACGUAUCCGGUAUCUCUACUCAGAGCUAUACGGACAGGUGUUAAGCUUGCAUCAACGUAACUCUUUACGUCGAACUCUUUAUCACCUCCAUAACCGAGAAACAUUUCCUUAUUCCUCUAAGGAUAAUUUUGACCGCUAUCUGGUGAUCCACUCCUAGAUCACCUUUGUACCCUCUUGCCAGACAUGUGGCAAGGCACACAUCUGGUGCGGUACUCAGCAUGGCAUACCGUAAAGAGCCUAUGACAAAAGCAUAGGGGACGACCUUCGUCCUUCCUCUUUCUUCUGCCGUGGUCAAUCUUUGAGUCUUACUCAACUUCACACCUUACAACUCAGGUAAGAAUCCCUUCUUUGACUGAUCUAUUUUGAACUCCUUCAAAAACAUGUCAUGGUGUGCGUUCUUUGAAAGUAUCCUCAGAUAUCUUGAUCUAUCUCUAUAGAUCUUGAUGCCCAAUAUGUAAGCAGCUUUAUCUAGGUCUUCCUUUGAAAAUCACUCUUCAAACAACCGUUUAUGCUUUCCAGAAAUUCUACAUUAUUUCGAAUCAACAAUAUGUCAUCCACAUAUACUUAUCAGAAAUGUUGUAAUGCUCCCACUCACUUUCUUGUAAAUACAAGUUUCUAGCAAACAUUGUAUAAACCUAAAAGCUUUGAUCACUCUAUCAAAGCAUAUAUUCCGACUCCGAGAUGCUUGCUCUAGUCCAUAGAAGGAUUGCUGGAGCCAGCAUACCUUUUAGCAUCCUUAGGAUCGAAACCUUUUAUUUUAUCACAUACAACUUUUUCUUACGAAAACUGGUAAGAAAACUUGUUUUGACAUCCAUCUGUCAGAUUUCAUAAUCGAAAAAUACAGCUAAUGCUAACAUGAUUCCGACGGACUUAAACAUCGCUACGGGUGAGAAAAUCUCAUCGUAGUCAACUCCUUGAACUUGUGAAAAGACUCUUUGCCACAAGUCGAGCUUCAUAGACGGUACAUUACCGUCCACGUCCGUCUUCUUCUUAAAGAUCCAUUUAUCUCAAUGACUUGCCGAUCAUCGAGCAAGUCCACCAAAGUCCAUGCUUUGUUCUGAUACAUGGAUCCUAUCUCGGAUUUCAUGGCUUCUAACCAUCUGUCGGAAUACGGUCCCACCAUUGCUUCUCCAUAGUUCGUAGGUUCAUUGUUGUCCAACAACAUGAUAUCUAAGACAUGAUUACCGUACCACUCAGGAGUAGUACAUAUCCUUGUCGACCUAUGAGGUUCGAUAGGAACUUGAUCCGAAGCUUCAUGAUCACUAUCAUUAACUUCCUCUUCAACAGAUGUAGGCGCCACGGAAAACAUCUUUCUGUGUUGCAUCACUCUCUGGUUGAAGUAAAGGUUCGACAACCUCAUCAAGUUCUAUCUUCCUCCCACUCAAUUCUUUCGAGAGAAACUCCUUCUCGAGAAAGGACUCUUUCUUAGCGACAAACAAUUUGCCCUCGGAUCUGAGGUAGAAGGUAUACCCAACUGUUACCUUUGGGUAUCCUAUGAAGAUGUAUUUGUCCGUUUUUGGGUUCGAGCCUUUCCGGCUGAAGCCUUAAGUAUCGCAGCCCCAAACAUUAAGAAACGACAACUUUGGUUUCUUGCCAAACCAAUGUUCAUACGACGUCGUCUCAACGGACUUAUAUGGUGUCCUAUCUAAAGUGAAUGCAGCUGUCUCUAAUGCAUAACCUCAAAAUAAUAGUGGUAGAUCAGUAAGAGACAUCAUAGAUCGCACCAUAUCUCAUAAGGUUUGAUUAUGAUGUCCGGACACACCAUUACGCUGUGGUGUUCCAGGUGGCUUCAACUGCGAAACAAUUCCACAAUGUCUUAAGUGAUUGCCAAACUCAUAACUCAGAAAAUCCCCCUUUGAUCAGAUCAUAGGAACAUGAUCUUCUUGUUAUGAUGAUUCUUAACUUCACUCUGAAAUCGCUUGAACUUUUCAAACAUUUCAGACUUGUGCUUCAUUAAGUAAAUAUACCUAUAUCUACUCAAAUCGUCAGUGAAGAUGAGAAAAUAGCGAUAUCCACCGCAUGCUUCAAUUCUCAUUGGAUCACACGCAUCAACAUGUAUGAUUUCCAACAAGUCACUUGCCCGUUUCAUUGUACCUGAAAACGGGGCCUUAGUCAUCCUGCCCAUGAGGCAUGGCUCGCAUGUGUCAAGCGAUUCAAAAUCAAGUGACUCCAAACAUCCAUCGACAUGGAGUUUCUUCAUGCAUCUUAUGCCAAUAUGACCUAAGCGGCAGUGCCACAAGAAAGUGGUACUAUCAUUAUUAACUCUACAUCUUUUGGCGUGAACAUGCGUAUUACCACGACUGAGAUUUAAUGAACCAUCACAUAGGGUGCAUGACCAUGAAAGGUAUUAUUCAUGUAAACAGAAUAACCAUUAUUCUCUAACUUAAAUGAAUAACCGUAUUGCAAUGAACAUGAUCUAAUCAUAUUCAUGCUCAACGUAGACACCUGAUAACAUUUAUCUAGGUUGAAUACUAAUCCCGAAGGCAGAUGGAGCGUGCGAUGGUGAUCUCAUCAACUUUGGAAACACUUCCAACACACAUCGUCACCUCGCCCUUAGCCAGUCUCCGUUUAGUCCGUAGAUUUUGCUUCAAGUUACCAAUAAUAGCAACUGAACCUGUAUCCAAUACCCAGGUGCUACCAGGAGUACUAGUGAGGUACACAUUAAUAACACGUAUAUACUUUGUUGAAGUUGCUAGCCUUCUUAUCUACCAUGCAUUUGGGGUAAUUCCGCUACCAGUGACCAUUCCCCUUACAAUAGAAGCACUUAGUCUCGGGUUUGGAUUCAACCUUGGGUUCCUUCACUAGAGCGGCAACUGGUUUGCCAUCCAUGAAAUUUCCCUUCUAGCCCUUGCCCUUCUUGAAACCAGUGGUCUUGUUAAACCAUCAACACUUGAUGCUCCUUCUUGAUUUCUACCUUUUGCGGUCUUAAGCACCGCGAACAGCUCCGGGAUCAACUCCAUCCCUUGCAUGUCAUAGUUCAUCACGAAGAUCUAGUAGCUUAGUGAUAGUGGCUAGAGAACUCUAUCAAUCACUAUCUUAUCUGGAAGUUUAACUCCCACCUGAUUUAAGUGAUUGUAGCACCCAGACAUUCUGAGCACAUGCUCACUAGCUGAGCUAUUCUCCUCCAUCUUGUUGGCAAAAGAACUUGUCAGAGGUCUCAUACCUCUCAACACGGCAUGAGCCUGAAAUCCCAAUUUCAGCUCUUGGAACAUCUCAUAUGUCUUAUGGUGUUCAAAACGUCAUUGGAAUCCCGAUUCUAAGCCGUAAAGUAUGGUGCACUAAACUAUCAAGUAGUCAUCAGGAUGUGUCUGUCAGGUGUUCACAACAUCCACAGAUGACGUUGUAGGGGUUUGCACAUCAAGCGGUGCAUCAAAGACGCAAGCCUUCUGUGUAGCAGUGAGGACACUCCUCGGACUACGGACCCAGUCCGCAUCAUUGCUUACAAUAUCUUUCAACUUAGUCUUUCUCUAGGAACGUAUUGAAACAGGGAGCUACAACGUGAGCUAUUUAUCUAUAACAUAUUUGUAAAGACAAUUUAGACUAUGUUCAUGAUAAUUAAGUUCAUCUAAUCAAAUUAUUUAAUGAACUCCCACUCAGAUAGACAUCCCUCUAGUCAUCUAAGUGAUGCAUGAUCCGAGUCAACUAGGCCAUGUCCGAUCAUCACAUGAGACUUACUAGUCAUCAUCGGUGAACAUCUUCAUGUUGAUCGUAUCUUCUAUACGACUCAUGUUCGACCUUUUGGUCUUCCGUGUUCCGAGGCCAUGUCUGUACAUGCUAGGCUCGUCAAGUCAACCUAAGUGUAUUGCGUGUGUAAAUCUGGCUUACACCCGUUGUAUUCGAACGUUAGAAUCUAUCACACCUGAUCAUCACGUGGUGCUUCGAAACAACGAACCUUCGCCAUGGUGCACAGUUAGGGAGAACACUUUCUUGAAAUUAUUGCGAGGGAUCAUCUUAUUUAAGCUACCGUCGUUCUAAGCAAAUAAGAUGUAAAAUAUGAUAAACAUCACAUGAAAUCAAAUAGUGACAUGAUAUGGCCAAUAUCAUUUUGCUCCUUUUGAUCUCCAUCUUCGGGGCACCAUGAUCAUCAUCGUCACCGGCAUGACACCAUGAUCUCCAUCAUCGUGUCUUCAUGAAGUUGUCUCGUCAACUAUUACUUCUACUACUAUGGCUAACGGUUUAGCAAUAAAGUAAAGUAAUUACAUGACGUUUAAGUUGACACACAUGUCAUAAAUAAAUUAAGACAACUCCUAUGGCUCCUGCCGGUUGUCAUACUCAUCGACAUGCAAGUUGUGAUUCCUAUUACAAGAACAUGAUCAAUCUCAUACAUCACAUAUAUCAUUCAUCACAUCCUUUUGGCCAUAUCACAUCACAAGGCAUAUGCUGCAAAAACAAGUUAGACAUCCUCUAAUUGUUGUUGCAAAUUUUUACGUGGCUGCUAUAGGUUUCUAGCAAGAACGUUUCUUAUCUACCCAAAACCACAACGUGAUAUGCCAAUUUCUAUUUACCCUUCAUAAGGACCCUUUUCAUCGAAUCCGAUCCGACUAAAGUGGGAGAGACAGACACCCGCUAGCCACCUUAUGCAACUAGUGCAUGUCAGUCGGUGGAACCUGUCUCACGUAAGAGUACGUGUAAGGUCGGUCCGGGCCGCUUCAUCCCAUGAUGCCGCCGAAUCAAGAUAAGACUAGUAACGGCAAGUAAAUUGACAAAAUCAAGGCCCACAACAACUUGUGUUUUACUCGUGCAUAGAAACUACGCAUAGACCUAGCUCAUGAUGCCACUGUUGGGGAUCGUAGCAGAAAUUUAAAAUUUUCUACGCAUCACCAAGAUCAAUCUAUGGAGUAAUCUAGCAACAAGGGGAAGGGGAGUGCAUCUAUAUACCCUUGUAGAUCGCUAAGCGGAAGCGUUGCAAGAACGCGGAUGAAGGAGUCGUACUCGCAGCGAUUCAGAUCGCGGUUGAUUCCGAUCUAAGCGCCGAACAAUGGCGCCUCUGCGUUCAACACACGUGCAGCCCGAUGACGUCUCCCACGCCUUGAUCCAGCAAGGGGAGAAGGAGAGGUUGGGGAAGACUCCAUCCAGCAGCAGCACGACGACGUGGUGGUGAAGGAGGAGCGUGUCAAUCCUCUAGGGCUUCGCCAAGCACCGGGAGAGAAGAGGAGGACUUGGGAGAGGGGGAGGGCUGCGCCAGAACUUGGGUGCGGCUGCCCUCCCACCCCCACAUAUAUAUAGGGGCAAGGGAGAGGGGGGGCGGCCCCCUCAGAUCCAAUCUGAGGAGGGGCGGCGGCCAGGGGGGUUGCCUUGCCCCCCAAGGCAAGGGGCGCCCCCCUUUAGUGUUCCCCCUAAACCCUAGGCGCAUGGGCCCUAGGGGGGAGGUGCUCAGCGCACUAAGGGGCUGGUCCCUCUCCACACACAGCCCAUAGGGCCCUCCGGGGCAGGUGGACCCUCCCGGUGGACCCCUCGGAACCCCUUUGGUGGUCCCGCUACAAUACCGGUAACCCCCCGAAUUAUUUCGGUGACCGUAUGAUGACUUCCCAUAUAUAAAUCUUUACCUCCGGACCAUUCCGGAACUCCUCGUGACAUCCGAGAUCUCAUUCGGGACUCCGAAUAACAUUCGGUAACCACAUACAUCUAUUCCCUAUAACCCUAGCGUCAUCGAACCUUAACUGUGUAGACCCUACAGGCUCAGGAGUCAUGCAGACAUGGUCGAGACAACUCUCCGGUCAACAACCAACAGCGGGAUCUGGAUACCCAUGUUGGUUCCCACAUGCUCCAUGAUGAUCUCAUCGGAUGAACCACGAUGUCAAAGAUUCAAUCAAUCCCGUAUACAAUUCCCUUUGUCUAUUGGUACGAUACUUGCCCGAGAUUCGAUCGUCGGUAUCCCAAUACCUUGUUCAAUCUCGUUACCGGCAAGUCUCUUUACUCGUUCCGUAACACAUCAUCCCGUGAUCAACUCCUUGGUCACAUUGUGCACAUUAUGAUGAUGUCCUACCGAUUGGGCCCAGAGAUACCUCUCCGUUACACGGAGUGACAAAUCCCAGUCUCGAUUCGUGCCAACCCAACAAACACUUUCGGAGAUACCCGUAGUGCACCUUUAUAGCCACCCAAUUAUGUUGUGACGUUUGGCACACCCAAAGCACUCCUACGGUAUCCGGGAGUUGCACAAUCUCAUGGUCUAAGGAAAUGAUACUUGACAUUAGAAAAGUUUUAGCAUACGAACUACACGAUCUUGUGCUAGGCUUAGGAUUGGGUCUUGUCCAUCACAUCAUUCUCCUAAUAAUGUGAUCCCGUUAUCAACAACAUUCAAUGUCCAUGGUCAGGAAACCGUAACCAUCUAUUGAUCAACGAGCUAGUCAACUAGAGGCUUACUAGGGACAUGGUGUUGUCUAUGUAUCCACACAUGUAUCCGAGUUUCCUAUCAAUACAAUUCUAGCAUGGAUAAUAAACGAUUAUCAUGAACAAGGAAAUAUAAUAAUAACCAAUUUAUUAUUGCCUCUAGGGCAUAUUUCCAACAAAGUCGUCCCGCCGUAUCCGCGCUUCCGUUCGCCGCUGGUAAGCAGCCCCGCCCUAUCCUCCCGUUCCAACCCCCUCGUGUUCCCGCGGUCCGUCCGCCCGCCAGUAAGUAGUCGCGGCUCCUUGCCUGGCCCGCCCCCGUCGGCCUCGCUCCGCCAAAUCCGGCAAGUAAUAGUGUAUGAUGUGGGAAUUAUGUGUUGUAUUCCUCAGGUGCAAACGCACGUAUAUAUGAUGUACAGGAGUAGGCCACGACCUGAACUAUACCAGGCAACUAGGAGGUGGACCCAAUACAUAAAUAUGCACAACACAUAUACUCAACACCCCCCCCCGCAGUACAAGCGGCACCACGGCUGACGCAAAGACUGGACCGGAACUCCUCAAAUGACGCCGUAGGCAAGCUCUUGGUCAUGAUAUCUGCGAAUUGUUGGGAAGUAGGAACGUGUAAACCACGAAUAUGGCCAAGGGCCACCUGUUCCCGAACAAAAUGAAUUCCAACUCAAUAUGCUUGGUCCGUCGAUGAUGCACCGGGUUAGCGGAGAGGUAGACCGCCGAGACGUUGUCGCAGUAGACCAUCGUGGCACGGUCAACAGGGCAAGAGAGCUCCUGAAGCAGCUGGCGAAGCGACGAACACUCAGCGACAGCGUUGGCCACCGCACGAUACUCGGCCUCAGCACUGGAACGAGAGACCGUAGGCUGCCGCUUGGACGACCACGAGAUAAGUGAGGGUCCAAGGUAGACACAAUAGCCCGUUGUGGAGCGACGAGUGUCAGGGCAGCCCGCCCAGUCUGCAUCGGAGUAGGCGGUGAGGGUGGUGUCGGCGGAGGCAUGAAGCGUGACGCCAAGAUCCAUAGUGCCACAGAUAUAGCGGAGAAUCCUCUUGAUGGCAACCCAGUGAACGUCUCGAGGAGCAUGCAUAUGAAGACACACCUGCUGCACGACAUACUGGAUCUCCGGUCAAGUCAGAGUGAGGUACUGGAGAGCACCAACGAGAGAUCGGUAGAAAGCAGCAUCCGAAACAGGAGAACCAUCCGUGGUAGAAAGCUUGGCCUUCGUAUCAACAGGCGUAGCGGCAGGCUUGCAGUUAAGCAUGCCGGUGCGCUCCAGGAGCUCGUGAGCGUACUUCCGCUGAUGAAGGAAGAAGCCAUCCGGACGGCGCACCACCUCGACCCCGAGGAAGUAGUGCAAAGGACCCAAGUCCUUGAUGGCAAACUCAGCGCGAAGACGAGCCGUGAGCUGACUGAGAAGGCCAGCCUUACAUGCCGUCAGGAUGAUGUCAUCGACAUAAAGCAGCAAGUAGGCCAUGCCAGAGCCCUGAUGAUAGACGAAGAGCGAGGCGUCCGAGCGGGUAGAGCGGAACCCAAGCUGGUGGAGAAACGCCGUGAUGCGCUGGUACCAAGCGCGCGGAGCCUGCUUGAGUCCGUACAAGGACCGCGAAAGCAGGCACACGUGGUCGGGAAGCACCGGGUCAACAAACCAAGUGGGCUGCUGGCAGAAGACCUGCUCCUCGAGGUGACCAUGAAGGAAGGCGUUCGAGACGUCCAUCUGGUGCACCGGCCAAGCACGGGAGACCGCAAGGUGGAGAACCGUGCGUAUCGUGCCGGGCUUGACGACCGGAGCGAAGGUGUCGGUGAAGUCGAUGCCAGCACGCUGUCAGAAGCCACGAACAACCCAGCGCGCUUUGUAGCGAUCAAGGGUACCAUCAGGACGGAGCUUGUGUUUGAAAACCCACUUCCCGGUAAUCAUGUUGGCGUGCCGGGGACGGGGAACAAGCUGCCAUGUCCGGUUGCGCAACAGGGCGUCAAACUCCUCUUGCAUCACAGCCAUCCAGAGCGGGUCACGAAGAGCAACUCGAACGGAGGACGGCAACGGGGACGACUCAGAGGUGGAUGCCGCAUGGACAUAGUCAUCCGAGGCGUAGCGAGAGCUCGGCCGAAGGACGCCCGUACGGGCGCGGGUGACCACACNNNNNNNNNNNNNNNNNNNNNNNNNNNNNNNNNNNNNNNNNNNNNNNNNNNNNNNNNNNNNNNNNNNNNNNNNNNNNNNNNNNNNNNNNNNNNNNNNNNNNNNNNNNNNNNNNNNNNNNNNNNNNNNNNNNNNNNNNNNNNNNNNNNNNNNNNNNNNNNNNNNNNNNNNNNNNNNNNNNNNNNNNNNNNNNNNNNNNNNNNNNNNNNNNNNNNNNNNNNNNNNNNNNNNNNNNNNNNNNNNNNNNNNNNNNNNNNNNNNNNNNNNNNNNNNNNNNNNNNNNNNNNNNNNNNNNNNNNNNNNNNNNNNNNNNNNNNNNNNNNNNNNNNNNNNNNNNNNNNNCGGGGGCGUCGGGGCCGCCAAUGUCGCGGCUGUAGGAGGCACCGUAAGCGAGGGGCGCGCCUCAAAGCCAGGGGGCGGGCUAAGAGAGGCGCGCGAGCGCCCUGGGACAGGCAUCGAAGAGCCCGCGUCACCGGUGGCGGGAGGAAUAGCCGGGGGUACCUCCUGAAACAGAAACACAUGCUCAUCAAAGUAAAUGUGCCGGGAAGUGAAGACACGAUGGGAGACGGGAUCGUAGCACCGAUAUCCCUUGGAGUUAGAGGGGUAGCCGAUGAAAAUGCAAGCGACAGAACGAGGUGCGAGUUUGUGAGGAGCGGAGUCGGCAGUGCUAGGAUAGCAAAGGCACCCGAAAAUACGCAAGCCAUCAUAAGAUGGGGGCGUACCGAAGAGAAGAUGGUGAGGUGCAUAGUUCCACCGUGGGCGGCAAAGGCGAAUGUUAAGGAGAAGUGAAGCAGUAGCGAGUGCGUCUGGCCAAAAACGAGGCGGCACAUUAGCAUGGAACAAGCGCGUGCGAACGCAGUCGUUUAGAGUGCGAAGGACGCGUUCGGCUUGACCGUUCUGCUGUGAAGUAUACGGGUAUGUGAGAUGAAAAAAAUGUGCCGUGGUGCGACAGAAAAGUGCGGAAAGCAAGGUUGUCGAACUCUUUUCCAUUGUCAGUCUGAAGAGCAAGAAUGGGACGCCCAAACUGCGUGCUGACAUAGGAUUAAAAAGCCGUCAAAGUGGAGAGUGUGUCUGACUUUCGUCGUAAAGGAAACGUCCACACAUAGUGAGAAUAAUCAUCAAGGAUAACCAGAUAAUAUAAAUAGCCCGAAUUACUAGGAACCGGAGAGGUCCACACAUCGCUAUGAAUCAACUGAAAAGGAAAAGAAGCUAUGGUGGUGGAGUUACUAAACGGGAGGCGAACAUGUUUGCCGACACGACAUGCAUGACAGGUGUGAUCCUCUAUCUUAUUACAACUGAAACUGAAACUCCUAAGAAUAUGACGAAGUGUGACGGGGUUAGGAUGACCCAAACGAGCGUGCCAGAGAUCGACGCCGGCGGAGAGAGCAACCGGUGCAGUGGUGGAGGUGGACGACGGAUGCACCAGAGAGAGCUCGUCGAGGCUGUCACAUCGGUGAAGUACCAUCCUGGUUCGAGCGUCCUUGACACAAAAACCAAGCUCGUCAAAUUCAACAGUAACAGGAUUUUCACGGGUUAAACAACGAACGGAAACAAAGUUCAUAAUAAGAUGAGGUGAGACAAGUAUGUUAGACAAAGUAAUAGGCAUGGAAUUAGAAGGAAAAGAAGUGUGCCCGACAUGUGUGAUAGGGAGGGUGGAACCGUUGCCAACAAUGAUGCGGCGCUCGGUGGUGAUGGGAGUGAAGGAGGCAAGAUUACCAGGAUGAGCAAACAUGUGAGCCGUAGCCCCGGUGUCCAUGUACCAAUCACCGCCUCCAGUGUAGUUGUUCGGUGUAGGCGCAGUGUGCAGCGCGGCGAGGAGCGCCGGAUCCCAAGGAGCCGGUGGCAGGGCCGGCGAGGGUGGCGUCGGGGUCGCAGGGAGACCGUAGGCGCCACUUAGCUGCGGCAGUGGGUAUCCUCCGUACGACUGCGGAGCCGCGUAGUACACCUGAUGCGUCGGUGGGCGCGGCACAGGAAGGGUCGGUGCAGGAGCCCGUGGAACCGGCAUGGUGUAGGCAUGAACGACACCGGUCCACGGGUUGUAGCCGGAGGCCCACGGAGGGGGCACCUGGAACUACUGCUGCUGCUGACGUGGCUGGCCGGCACCCGGCGGCUGCUGCUGCUGACCACCGCGGCGGCCCCCACCGCGCCGACCCCCGCAGCGCCGUUCGGCGGGAGGGGCAGGCAGCCCAUAGGGCAGCGGGAGUAGCCCCGACUGCUGGGUGGCCGGGUACGGCGGCGACGCCGGGGAUGGCGCCGGAUGGCGCUGCGAAGGGGGCGCGGUCGGGGCGGCGGGAGGCGCCGCGGAGGCGCCGCGGGUGGUGCCGGCGGCGAGAGCGGUGUGGAUGGCCCGCGCCUUCACCUGCUUCAUCCGCCGCUCCCCCAAGCGGAGAUACGCAACGAACUUGGCGAAGGACGGGUUGGGGAUGAGGCUGAGAUUCGCCGCGGCGUUGCCGAAGUCCUUGUUGAGCCCGGCGGUGAGCGUGCUGAGGAGGAGGUCAUCAUCGAUCUUCGCGCCAAUAUCGCGGAGCUCGUCAGCGAGAGUUUUCAGGCGGCGACAAUAGUCGUCGAUGGAGGCGUUGUCCUGGUGACACCCAAAAAACUCUUGCUGCAAAAAAACACGACGCUGGAGUUGAUUGUCGAUGAAGAGCCCGUUCAGUUUGGUCCACAUGUCGCAGGCAUCGUCACCGUCCGCCAUGACCGUCUGGAAGAGGUCCGGCGAGAUGGUGAGGAAAAACCAGCGGAUGAUCGUGGUGUCGAUGGUGGACCAGUCAUGGAACUGGGGACGAGGCUGGAGUCGACGGUGCCGUCCAUGUGGUCGAUGAGGUGAUACUCCCGAAACACGAGGAGAAAAUACGUCAUCCACGUGUAGUAGGAGGAGUUCGUCUGGAAGAGACGAACCGGCACCGGCUCGAAGAUGUUCAGGUUGCGAAGAACGUUCACAUUAGGAGGGUUGGCGUUGGCGAACGGGUUGGAAUUGAUGAACGUGGAAGAGAUGACGGACGACAUCGCAAGGGUGAGACGGCACGGUUGCUGCGGCGAAAACUGAGAGGAAAAAGACAGCUACGACACGAAGCGGCGGGGGCUGCUUGGUGGAGCGGCUCGGAGCUAGCGAACGCGGGCGGCGAUGUGUGCUAGCGAGCUGGGGUAGUGAUCAACAGGCUCUGCGAUUGAUUUGUUGGCAACUAGCGGGAAAGUGUGCAUGCACGAUCAAUGGUUUGGCGGCUAGCGGGGAAGUGUGCAGGCGCGAUCGGUGGCUGGCUUUGUUUGGCGGCUAGCGGGGAGGUGUCCUGGCGCGAGCGAGAGGCGGCCAGCAGGCGUGAUCGGGAGGCGGCCAGCAGCGCGAGAGGCGCGCGGCUAGCGGGGAGGGAGGCACACGGCGGCGGCGGCGGAAGCAAGGAGAAAACCUAAAAAACGGGAGUAUUUAACCAAAAACUACCACAAUUCGCGGAAACGUGACAGGAAAUUACCACUUUACGAUUUUGUACCGAAAACUACCACUUUUUUAUUAAUCCGUGACAAAAAACUACCAAGUGUGAAAACUGCUCGCUUUACCUGGGUUAAACGCAAAUCUGACUGCCCGACCCCACACAUAAACGGGCUAAAAAUGCAAUCGGGUCCCUAGUUUUUCUUCAAAAAAGCAAUCGGGUCCUCCGCCUCCUUCUCCGGUGAAGACCACCGCCGCCUCGAUCUCUUUCUCCGGUGACCCGCGUGCCUCCUCUGAGUUCAUGGCGGAGCUGGUGUGGCCGGAGCGGCUGGCGCCAAACCUUCCAUCCUCCUGCCAGACGUCGUCGCCGGCGGCGUGCGUACCUCCUGCUUUUUCCCCUUCCCUCUCUCUCAUCGACUGAUUUCCCCACCUGGCGACCAGCGGGCACAUGCGGUGAGCUCGGCACGCGCAGGCGGCGAGACUUGCGGGGCGCGGCAGCCACCAGGGAGCGCGUGCGAGAAAGAGGGGGAGGUGGUCCGAACCUGCACCAGAGGCGGGAAACGCUGGCGGCGCCGGCGAGGUCGGCAAGGUCGUCGCAGGGGGAGAGGUCCUCCCGACGCAGUCGACGAAGCCUGCGGGGUACAUGCGGCGACCAGCGGCUCACGGCAGAGCAUGGCGGCCAGCGGCGGCGCGUCACCGCUGCACGGACGAGGCGAGCAGGUGCGACGCGGUUCGCGGCAGCAUGUAGCGAGGCCAGCAGGGCCGCUACGCAGCUUGGCCUGGCAAGUGGUAGCUCCGACCGCAACGAGCAGCGGUAGUGCAUGGCCAUGGCUAGCUAGCCUGGCAACUCCGACGGUGUUGGGUACACCGUACACAAGCAGCUAGUGCGGUAGUGUCUCCGCCGCCGGCCAUCUUGCUCGCAUUGGAGCGUGUGGGGGCUGCCGGCGUGCCUGUGCCUUCCCGGCGAGAUGGGCGAGCUGGGGGGCUGAUUGCUUUUUCUAUACUGACGUGUGGGCCAACUCGUCAUAAUUGAGUUUAAACAAGUUGAAUCGGACACUUUUUAUACAUGGUAGUUUUUAGUCAAAGAUUAGUGAAAAAAUGGUAGUUUUUCGCACAAAUUUGUAAAGUGGUAGUUUAUAGGCACGGUUCCAUGAAUUGUGGUAGUUUUUUGUUAAAUACUCUAAAAAACUGAUACCAUGUAUGAUGUGGGAAUUAUGUGUUGUAUUCCUCAAGUGCAAACGCGCGUAUAUAUGAUGUACAGGAGUAGGCUAUGACCUUAACUAUACAAGACAACUAGGAGGUGAACCCAAUACAUAAAUAUGCACAACACAUAUACUCAAUAAAUAGGAUUUAAAGUAGCCAAAUGGUUGAGAAAGAACAUUUAUUGUCAAUCUAAUCAUGUCAUUCAAAUACCUUUUUGAUUAGAAUUAAUUUAGGGUUAGAAUCUAACUCUAACCUCCAACUCAUAUCCAAACAGGACCGUAGUAUGAGUACAAGUGGAGUUCCCGUGGUUGGCAAGCAACGGGACAAAACUGACAACGCGUCCGAGGCAACGAGACAGAGCGCAGUGAGUGUGAGUUUAAAAGCCCAAGUCGUAUAAACAAAACAAGUCUUCUUGCUGCACCGCGUCUUCAUCAGUGUGGAAACCUCCAACGAAGCUGCUACUCUGCUUUCUCGCUCGCCCAACCUCUUUGAUUCUGGCCUUAUAUAUACGGAUUGCAUCCUUGCAGCGAAGGGCACUCUGCUUCUCACCCACCGCAAGCUCCACCUCCACUCCACUCACAACCAGACGCAGCAGCCAGCCAGCAAUGACGCAGAGGAUCGUGAUCGCCGUGCAGAUGGCGAGCAGCAGGUGCCGGUCCAAGGCGCUGGCGCUGGUGGCGGCCACGCCGGGGGUGGACUCGGUGGCGCUGGCCGGGGACGCCAAGGACCAGGUGGUGGUCGUCGGCCACGGCGUCGACUCGGUCAAGCUCACCAGCGCCCUUCGCAGGAAGGUCGGCCACGCGCAGCUGCUGCAGGUCGGCGACGUCAAGAAGGAGGACCCGAAGAAGCCGGCGGCCGCCGUGGUCGAACACUACCCGCACUCGGGGUACUCCUACCCGUACGGCUACUACUACCCAUCGCAACCGGCGCCGGUGAACGUCUUCUACGGGCAGCAGCACUACCCUGCAGCCGCGGUCGAGGCGUGCGGGUACCCAUGCUCGCGGCCGGAGCCGGGCACCUGUUCGGUAAUGUAGAUAUGGAAGGAGGAAUUUGUUGGUUAAUCCUGCCGCGUGUAUGUACUAAGGUUCAGCUAGCAAUAGUGUCGAAUUUCAGUUAGUUACUGGCAUCAAGUUCAGUUCUUGUGUUUGCUUAGAUCCUAUUCCUAUGUAAUCGCCUGCGACCUGCAGUUCAAAGCCUCAAAGAGCAGAGUUUCUAACAAGCAGACCGUCGGCAUGAGAGUCAAAUGCGCCACUAGUCGAUGAACUCAAACUGAUUGCACACUUUAAACCAACAACUCAAGAAGUGAU